GCAUUAGUGGUGUAGCGGUAACAUUGGGUCUUCCCACUUAAGGUGGUUGGCCUAGCUCCGGGUUCGACUCCCGGCUGAUGCA
Non-coding RNA from Multifurca ochricompacta, 82 nucleotides. The record is from the annotation of a GenBank genome assembly. NCBI's taxonomy places the organism in Eukaryota, Fungi, Basidiomycota, Agaricomycetes, Russulales, Russulaceae.